GCCAAAUGAGGUGACUCAUGGUUCUACCCAUUUCCAAUGAGGCAUCUCAUGGGUCGAUCUAUUUUGGGCGAAUACUCGUAACGGCUAGUUUUCAGCCCACUUUUGGUACAUUUAAUGUACAUCAAAUACACUCCAACGGCUCUUAACCGAUACUAAAACACUCUCAAGAUAAAAUAAAGACAAUAAAUGCUCUCUAGAGGUAAAAAAUUAAAUAAGAAACAAGCAUUCAAGCUUAAAUCCGUGAAAGAGAAAGAAAACCC
RNAcentral lists this long non-coding RNA (260 nucleotides) under Elaeis guineensis (African oil palm). Its description in RNAcentral is "long non-coding RNA (EGUI_LNC070412)". The record is from RNAcentral. Lineage: Eukaryota; Viridiplantae; Streptophyta; Magnoliopsida; Arecales; Arecaceae.